GCCCUUAUCUUCUAACGGCUGAGGAUACCGUCCUCUCAAGGCGGAGAUGCGGGUUCAACUCCCGCUGAGGGUGCCA
RNAcentral lists this transfer RNA (76 nucleotides) under Planctomycetaceae bacterium. RNAcentral describes it as "tRNA-Glu". It matches the Rfam family "tRNA". From Rfam's summary of the family: Transfer RNA (tRNA) molecules are approximately 80 nucleotides in length. The record is from RNAcentral. Lineage: Bacteria; Pseudomonadati; Planctomycetota; Planctomycetia; Planctomycetales; Planctomycetaceae.